CCUACGGGUGGCAGCAGUGGGGAAUAUUGGACAAUGGGCGAAAGCCUGAUCCAGCCAUGCCGCGUGUGUGAAGAAGGCCUUCGGGUUGUAAAGCACUUUCAGUGGGGAAGAAAGCCUUGGGGCUAAUACCCUCGAGGAAGGACAUCACCCACAGAAGAAGCACCGGCUAACUCCGUGCCAGCAGCCGCGGUAAUACGGAGGGUGCGAGCGUUAAUCGGAAUUACUGGGCGUAAAGCGCGCGUAGGCGGUCUGAUAAGCCGGUUGUGAAAGCCCCGGGCUCAACCUGGGAACGGCAUCCGGAACUGUCAGGCUAGAGUGCAGGAGAGGAAGGUAGAAUUCCCGGUGUAGCGGUGAAAUGCGUAGAGAUCGGGAGGAAUACCAGUGGCGAAGGCGGCCUUCUGGACUGACACUGACGCUGAGGUGCGAAAGCGUGGGUAGCAAACAGGAUUACAUACCCCGGUAGUC
Molecule: ribosomal RNA, 465 nt
Filed under: Vreelandella stevensii
Lineage: Bacteria; Pseudomonadati; Pseudomonadota; Gammaproteobacteria; Oceanospirillales; Halomonadaceae
Description: partial 16S ribosomal RNA
Rfam family: Bacterial small subunit ribosomal RNA
Source: RNAcentral